Molecule: ribosomal RNA, 485 nt
Filed under: uncultured bacterium
Lineage: Bacteria
Description: partial 16S ribosomal RNA
Rfam family: Bacterial small subunit ribosomal RNA
Source: RNAcentral
AGUGAACGCUGGCGGCGUGCUUAACACAUGCAAGUCGAACGAGAACGGAAUAUAGCUUGCUAUAUUUGUCAGCUAAGUGGCGCACGGGUGAGUAAUGUAUAGAUAACCUGCCCUUAAGAAAGGAAUAACAGUUGGAAACGACUGCUAAUGCCCUAUAUGCCUUUAAUACAUAAGUAUGCAAGGGAAUCGCUUUAGUGCUUAAGGAUGGGUCUGUAUGGUAUCAGCUUGUUGGUGAGGUAAUGGCUCACCAAGGCUAUGACGCCUAACUGGUUUGGGAGGAUGAUCAGUCACACUGGAACUGAGACACGGUGCAGACUCCUACGGGAGGCAGGAGUGGGGAAUAUUGCACAAUGGACGAAGGUCUGAUGCAGCAACGCCGCGUGGAGGAUGACACAUUUCGGUGCGUAAACUCCUUUUAUAUAGGAAGAUAAUGACGGUACUAUAUGAAUAAGCACCGGCUAACUCCGUGCCAGCCGCCGCAGUAA